AGUAUCUGUAAAUGUUAUAGUGGUUAAGCGAAUUAGUGCCGUCGCCUAUGUACCGCUUUUUUUGCUUCCCCUGACAGAUGUGAAACUCCGAUUCACACUGCCACCAUCCACCAUCCACCAUCCACCAUCCGUCAAAAACAGGUGAUGCCAAUAACAAGUUCAUUAAAUUUGCGCGGAAGAUUUAUUAAUUCUUGGUUCUUAUAAUGGAUGAUGAAGAUAUAGCAAUUAUUUCGGCUGUGGUUCAACAGCAAAAUAUUUUCUUGCACCAACUAAUAAUAUUGCUGUCAAUGAAUAAUGAUGAUGACGAUGAUGACUUUAACAUUGACGAGGAUGAGAUGACCCAGAUGACUGCCAUAAAAACACAAAAGCCAGGAAGAUUAUGGUCGUUUAAGCGGUUCGGGACAUUUUGGGAGAAAGAUGUACCAGAAAACAACGAGGCGUUUUUCAAAGAGAGUUUCCGAAUGGAGAGGCCAUGCUUUGAUAUUUUAGUGAAUCGGCUUGAAGUGCUGCGAAAGAAGGACACCAACUGCCGAGCUGCAAUUCCUUUGGAAAAGCGCAUCGCCAUUGCGCUAUAGACUUUGGGCUCGUCCUCUGAGUACCGAACAGUUGGCAGGCUUUUCGGUGUAGCUCCAAACAGUGUGUGUAAUAUCCUGCACGAGUUUUGCAGAGCACUUAUAGAUACAGAUUUACAUAUGUAAAUAUCGGCUCUGCAGGAAGGUGCAAUGACUCGAUGAUAUACCAGAAGUCAAGCCUUGCAAAACAUAUCGAAGCAUCGGCAUUACUCCAAGAGAAAGCCAAGGAAAUAAGCGGAGUAAACGUCCCUGUAAUGCUUAUCGGGGACUCGGCAUUUAGGUUUUCUAAAAAGCUGAUGAAACCUUCCCCGUUUUCCACAGUCGCCUCUUUGGAAUAGCGCACGUUUAACUACAACCUUUCCAAAGCUAGGCGAGUGGUGGAAAAUGCAUUUGGGCAUUUAAAAGCCAGAUUUCGAAUAUUCGGAAAAGGUCUUGAUAGCCACCAAAAAAAUAAUAGCGCCAUAAUAAUGAGCUGUUGUAUUUUACACAAUAUAUUAAAUAUGCACAACAGCGCGAUUAAUGAAAAUUGGGAGCUUGCAACAAAUGAGCAGCGCGAACAGCCCGAUACCGGCAACAGUUCUGCUGCCUUUAUCAGUCAGCAGAACAGAUACGAUCUUAUUACGAACUUAUUUAUUUUUAUUUUUUAAAACUUCUAAUAAGUCGUUCUGGAAUUUUGUUUGGGUGCUGAUCAAGUCCUGCACCAUCUUCUCCUGCCUAACGUCGUGCUCCUCCUUCUUUUUAUGGUGGUCCUUUUGUUGUUCGAGACGCUCCUGGGCGAUCUCUGCCAGCCACGAAAUGUCGGUCUUUUUCUUUUUCUUUUGCGGACGCCCAGACAAGGUGCUGGAGCUACAAGAUCCGUCCAGGUCCAUCUCAAUAAUAUCCGAAAAGUGCUCAUCAGGAUCUGCAAUGAACACCUUAAAUGAAAUAUAUUUUUUUAGCAAUAAAUUAAUAAAACUUACUGUCGUUGUCCAAUGUGCUCUGCUCCAUGUUGUUUGCACUCAAGAUGCCAAA
Drosophila miranda is the source of this 1583-nucleotide long non-coding RNA. RefSeq lists it as uncharacterized. Lineage: Eukaryota; Metazoa; Arthropoda; Insecta; Diptera; Drosophilidae. The record is from RefSeq and is a predicted model, not a curated record. The transcript is spliced from 3 exons.